GAUGAACGCUGGCGGCGUGCCUAAUACAUGCAAGUCGAGCGAACAGACGAGGAGCUUGCUCCUCUGAUGUUAGCGGCGGACGGGUGAGUAACACGUGAAUAACCUACCUAUAAGACUGGGAUAACUUCGGGAAACCGGAGCUAAUACCGGAUAACAUGUUGAACCGCAUGGUUCAACAGUGAAAGACGGUCUUGCUGUCACUUAUAGAUGGAUCCGCGCCGCAUUAGCUAGUUGGUAAGGUAACGGCUUACCAAGGCAACGAUGCGUAGCCGACCUGAGAGGGUGAUCGGCCACACUGGAACUGAGACACGGUCCAGACUCCUACGGGAGGCAGCAGUAGGGAAUCUUCCGCAAUGGGCGAAAGCCUGACGGAGCAACGCCGCGUGAGUGAAGAAGGUCUUCGGAUCGUAAAACUCUGUUAUUAGGGAAGAACAAAUGUGUAAGUAACUAUGCACGUCUUGACGGUACCUAAUCAGAAAGCCACGGCUAACUACGUG
This 497-nucleotide ribosomal RNA is filed under the name uncultured bacterium. Its description in RNAcentral is "partial 16S ribosomal RNA". It matches the Rfam family "Bacterial small subunit ribosomal RNA", at positions 28 to 507 of the family's 1533-position model. The record is from RNAcentral.